UGCUGUGCUAUCUUAGUUCAAUUUACUUCUUUUUUUGUAAGGUUAGUAUAAUUUACUUUAUUAUUUGUUUCCGAAAAAGUGUAUGAAUAGUGGAUUGUUUAUGGUGCCUGAUUACUUGAUCUUCGGCAGGCUGAGACUUCUGAGAUAUGGAUGAAUCCGAGGGACCUACCUACUAUGCAAUCAGGUUCAUACUACAAUAUGACUGGACAAACACCUCAUGCUGCAUAUUUGCCAUCCCAUACCAGUCACGCCUCGUUUAAUGCAGCAGCACAAUCUUCUCACAUUCAAUUUCCGGGCAUGUACCAUACUCCACAACCUGCUGGAAUCCCCAGUCAGCAUCAUCCUGCUGUGAGCGGUAAUGUUGGAGUUGGAUUGGCUGCAGGGGGGCCAGCAGCCCAAGUUAAUGCCUUUCAGCAACCUCAGCUGGGCCACAUGAAUUGGACAGGGAACUUCUGAAGGCCUUUUUAAUCCAUGAAAAUUUUAUUAAAAGGGAUGGAGCUGAUUAUCUGUGGAAGUCCUCUCUCCUCUCUUUGCCCCUUUUUUCCUCAAAAGAAAACUUAAUCUACAAAUCAAUACAUUGAGUUGUGUUUGGUCCGUGCUGGUUUAUAUCUGUGAUUCACGGGACGGUAUGUCAACCUUUAUAUGGUUGUAUGCAAGUUUAUUAGGAUUAGAGCAGGCUUUGGUUUAUAAGUUAGGCCCUAUGUUUUUAUAGCCCGACUGAAAAUAUUUCUUCAAAUGGUUAAAUUGUUUUGGAGGUUUAUCAGGUCAGAGCUGGCUCUUGGGGUUAUAAGUCUGCCCUCAAUUUUUCAGUAGUCUGUUUUUCUGAUAAAUAAUCUCAAAACAAUUUAGGGGACGUUUGGAUGGGGUGGCAAUGUGAAUGAGUAUCCCCAGGGGUGGAAAAAAUAGUUUCCUUGUCAAAUGAAAGGCUUUUUUAAUAUAUUCAUUCACUCUGCAAAACAAGAUACUGUCAGGUGUGUGUUUAGGCCUUUUUACAUGUACAUGCAUGCUAAAAUUGAUCCCCGUACAGCAUCUUAUAUUUGGCCAUGCUUCUCUAGACAUUGCCUAGGCACAAAGGCUAUAUGUGGGUGAGCUUUCGGCUUGCCUUAAUUUUAAUUAGGUUGGCGUUUCUAAUUGGAUUCUUGGUGUAUAUAUUAGGCAACUGAAAACAUAGAGAACUGAGAGAUUUUUUUUUAAGGAUUUUAGUUAGUAAUAUAGUCAUUGGAUUGAUUAGUAGUCUGUUUUACAUAUUCAAGGGUGCAUUAUUGUAACUCCAUUGUAAUUGAAACGGGCAAUAAAUAUCGUAAUUGUUCAAACCACCACAAACAAUCUGCAAUGAGUUGUCACGAUAGAUUUGCAAUCAAUAGUCAAGGUAGAUUGAGAGAAUUGCCUUGCAAAUUUGUGUGUGGUGAUUUGUUGUCUUGUAGUUGUAGCCGACUUAUGAGUAAGAUUUGUAGCAACCUCGUGAUAUAUGUUAAUACAAUAUAUUUUCCAAACUUGUCGAAGUCAUUAAGUCAGCGGUUACUAUUCUAGAUGAAUUUAACCAACAUUACACAAAAUGAAUUAAAUUGAGAAUAUGGUAGUGACGUAUUCAACUCUCUUCUAUGUCACUUUGAGACUAGUAGUCAUAUGGUGAAAAAUAAAGUUCAAAGACUUGUGGAGUUGCAGAAUUAUUUCUUAUUCAGUUGAAUUGCAGAAGAGUCUUGUUUACUGGGAUUAUAUAUAAUCAACACCUGAAGCAUAACUAACCGACAUCCUAGGAUUAUAUAUAAUUAACACCUAAAGCAUAACUAAUUGGGAAUUGGCUGAUCAUGUUAUCAGAUAAAGGCAACAUGAAAUUUGAUAGCUUGUGAAUUAGAUGAGUGCACAAAGCGUCAAUAGGUAUGAGUGAAUAAAAAACUGAUUAACCCGCCAAACCAACCCAACCCGUCUUAUUUAAGACCGAACAAACCGAAUUGUUCAUAAUCGAAAAAUAGUUGAUUUCGAUUUUUAUUAACUUAGAAUAGAUUCGGUUGGGUAAGGAUUUUUAAAUCAUUAGACCUCAUCCAACCCAACCCAACCCGUUUAUAUUAGUCCACUUAUAUGUUAAUUCAGUCUAGCAUUUGUUUAUGAUAGUUUAUAUAGUAAGUUAUCAGUCUUACAACUGGAGUUUCAAUAAGUAAACAACUAAAAUUUAAAAUAGCUCAGUAUAUGAACGUAACAUAUGUGAACAUUUAGUUUAGUUCUUAGGUUGCCCUGUGCUGGCAGUGUCCCAAGAAUUCCUCCUUUAUAUGUCAGCUAAUUUAGCUCUAGCAAGAGCAAUAUUAUAAUAUAGAUUACCUCUCAAUUUAUUAAGACAAAUGAACUCCUUUACAAGCUUCAAUUAAUUUGCAUGACAGUCAUUGGGUGACCAGUCACUGGUGUGUUCCAAGCUUUAGUCCCGGUGCUAGAUUAAAAAAUUAAAAAGGUUUUCCAAAUUUCACAAGAUCAACAGGAACAUUGAGAAUAAUUGAAUUGUGGUCCAUUAUUCGUCUAUUUUUUACCAUAAACCUUUGAUUCUGUAUGUGUAACCAACCAAUCUGCAUUACCUAUAAAUCUAUCUAAUAUUUUCAUAAUAUUACUCACAGGUUUAAGAUUAGAUCAAGUAAAAGAGCUACUGACAGUUAUGAUGCAUGCAGACUAAAAUCAACGAUACAUUCUUAUUUUAAACUCGAUAAACCGGACCCUACAUGACCUAACCUGACGUACGAAUAAUGGGGUUGAGUUGGAAAUAUUUUUCAGGGUUAACAGGUUAAAUUUUUUAUAAACCGAUUAUAUCGAGCUGGUUUAAUUUUGCCACUAACCUGGCCAACCCAACCCGUGUUCACUCCUAUCAACACGUACGAAGUCGUGAAAUUAAGCAAGUCAAAUCAAGACAUCUGUUCCAAGUUAAGUCUUGAGAACAUCUCUAAGGAUCAUCUUCUCAUAGCUUUGCCAAGUCCACUGUUCCACUUCUUAAAGUCAAAACUUUUAACUAUAAUCAAUCUGGGAGUGACUUACAUGUGAUUAUAGGUCUGUAUGUAUGUAUGUAUGUAUGUGUGUGUGUGUGUGUGUAUGCAUAUAAAUAUACACACGCGCGCACAGAGAGAGAGACAUAGAAACACACACACACACAUAUAAUAUAGAGAGAGUCUUGUUUUGUCUCGUAUUUGUGUUUGAAGUGGUGAGGUUUUUCAAUGAAAUUUCCUUAUCACGGAUUCUCUAACAUUAAAAAUGCAUUUAUAUCUCUUCAUGUAGUUUGAAACUUAACCAGUCUGUUUUUCUAGAUAGUCAUACAGCUGAAAACCAACAAUAUUUAUCCUGGACUAUAAACCCAAAUUCGGAAAACAUCCCAACUUUCACCUUAGAGAUAGUCAAAACGGAGAAACUCUACUUGUUACAGUAAAUAAGAAUGUAACGGAUAGUGUACAUACAAUCUACCUCUAAAGAAGAAAUGAUGUUUAUAAAUUUGAGAUAUUUGCUGUUCAUCUGCAUUCUCUCAUAAGAAUCAGAGAUGGAAAAAGCAAUAAUACCGUCUCUGAAAUCAUUCUCUCAACAAGUCGAGUUCAUUGAAAUUUGCUCAUCAACAACUAGAGCAUCUUGUGUUGAGUCAAACACAUCAUCAGUAUAUCACUCUAAUGAAUAGUCUAAACAAAAAAUAUGUUAUGAAUACUAUAUAAGAGAGUGCAUGGUGAGGUUAAUGAUUUUGUUUCAGAAGCAAUUAUUUUUAAAAAAAUUUGAAAUAUAAGUAUAUAUUACGUGCAAUUAGAUACUGUUAUAUCCGAAAUUUACAGAUACUACGUGAAAUAAUUAAUUAGAAAAUCAUGGGGCUAAUGUUAUGACGUCAAGUUUUGUACAUGGCCUGACACCUGCAGCAUGACGAAGACGACGUGAUGAAAAGACAUGACAAGGACUGCGGGAAGCAAGGAUGCUUGGGGCACGUGAGUGACAUGUUGUGAGGAAUCAGUCGUUGGCUAGCAUAAAUAUAGGGAUAAGUACAAGCUUCGGUUGUAACAGAAGUGAGAGACUUUGAAGGGUACGUGGAGAAAGUUUAGGCAGUAUAACGGCAACAAUAAUAUUCAAAGCUGAAGACUUGUGUAUAAAUAGGGCUGAGAUAUAUCAAAGUAGAGGAUCAGAUGAUUAGCAUCCAACACUUACAGUAUACAUUGUAACCUACUUUUCAACUUAGUGAAUUAUCUUUCUGGCUGGGCCGAGCCCACCCGCGGUUUUUACCUCACAAGGGUUUUCCGCGUCACCAAUCUUUCGUCUUAUUUACUUUAUCGCACUUUAUUUUGAUUCGCUUAUAUCGUUAUAUUAGCUUGGCAUUUAACUCACAAAAUCUGGUUAAAACAAUUGGCGCCGUCUGUGGGAAACUUGUCAAGCAUUCAACAUGGCAACGGGAGACCAGCAACACAGCGAAUCAGCGAGUCAGAAUGACAACCCUACGAUACGGCAAAUGGCGGAGACAAUCAAGAAACUACAAGCUGACGUGAAUGCCCAACAGGAAGCAUGGAGAACUGAGAGGGAUACGCUCCACUCCCAAACCCAGGCUCUACAAAGAGAGCUCACGACAGUUAAAUCCAAAUCAAACCCCAUAUCGAAGGGAAGCCUGAAAAGCGUGGCCAGACGGUUGAACAUGGACGAUGAUGGAGAGGAGGAGUACGACGAGAAGAUCGAGGUGGAGAACCCUGAAGAGGGGAAUCCAGAAAUCAACGACGAGGACCACGACGAAAGGGGUGACAAGGGUCAUGACAGUGGACAAGGACGAAACGAGGGGAACAAAAAGAAGAAAAAGACACGUAGAUCUUCCAAAUCACGUAGUCAUGCAACGGAGGCAAUGAAGAAAGAACUACAUGAUCUAAAGGAGACGUACACAGACGAGAACAAUUCAUAUUCGUCUCAUCACGUCUAAACGGGAACCAGUAAAUCACAUGUGACGCAACACGACCAACAAGACAUGGGUGACAUCUACACGACAAAAAAAACACCACAGAGGACAUGACGUGACACCAAAGAGAGAGACCGCCAUAAUUGAUUUUUUGACAGAUGAAUGGACAGCUUCGCUUGGGAACACGACAACACGAUGGGUAGCAGCCUCGACUUGAACAUACACAAGUUAAAUGAUGACAAGUCAAGCCACAUACAUGUCAAAUGCAAAUCAAACAGAAUUAAGAUAAUCAAUCGCAAAAGAGACAACUAAUUCAAAAAAGGACAUGAUACAUGAAGUCGAGUAUCAAGAAUGACUAGCAAACAUGGUGACAGUAUAAAAAUAACACCACGACAGUUGGACAUAAAGUCUUGACAUGAUGAUCGACGUGACAGCUAGACAUGAACUCUAGUAACAUAACAGAUCAUGUCAAAUACAUUAUCACCUAUGAGCCACAAACAACGAUUGACUCACAAAUUUUGUUAAUUUUGUGGCUAAUUUCAAUCCAAGUCUUCUAUCUCAACAGGACAUGACGACUUAUCCUAAAAUCGCCACAAGGGGACAAUAUAGCAUACCCAAAGCACGAUCGACAUCACUGGUUCAACAUGAUGUGAAGUAAAAAGACAUGACAUGACCACGAAGGAUAAACAUAGACGAAAGAAUCAAAAAUGGACUAGUUGUUGAGACAAGUCGAAGAAACUUGAUUAAUGUCAACUCGACGACAUGGGACACGAAGGUCAACACUAUGACAGAACAUGAAUCAUUGACGCCUCUAGAGGUGUCCGACGUCUCCCAUCUGAUUCAACAAUACAUUACAAAUUACAAGUCCUCAGGGGCUCGAACAUGCUACUUUUAAAACUUUAUCACAUGUAAGUGAACUCAUCCUCUUUAUUCUCUUAGCCUUAGCAAUAUGAUAAUAAGUUGAUUACGAUCUUUACUUGGUCUUAUGCCAUUUAGAUGAUAUUUCAUGCUUCGUGUAAAUGUUUGUUUGAAUGAUUCAUGAUAUAAGCAUUAUGAUUCACAUGCUUGUUUCCUAUAUGACUUGCUACUCUACUUGAUUUGAUAUGUGUGUUGAAAUAUGUUAUGCAAGUUGUUGCAAAUAGUCUUCAUGUCUAACUGCAUAAAGUUGACAUCUUCAUCAUGAUAUUUAUUGUGACAUGAUAUUGCAUGAGUAUAUUUUAGAUACAUAUUAAUAGACAAGGAGGGCUGAUCACCCAUCCUACUACGGUUGAUCAUUAUCGAAUGAUGGUGACGACAACACUACACAUUACACAAAUAACUUACGACGCUACGAAUAAUGAUGCAUUUCAACAUUAUGUAUAUAAACAUUACAUAAUCACAAUUACAAUUACGAGCUAAGUUUCAAGAGGGAAAGGCCUUUUAACUAGCCUACGAAUGCAUGCAUCGACGUUUGAAAAUAAACAAAUUUGUCGAAUACAUCAACGAUUGAAAAUUAUAUAUAUUUGUCGAAUAGGGCUAAUGUUAUGACGUCAAGUUUUGUACAUGGCCUGACACCUGCAGCAUGACGAAGACGACGUGAUGAAAAGACAUGACAAGGACUGCGGGAAGCAAGGAUGCUUGGGGCACGUGAGUGACAUGUUGUGAGGAAUCAGUCGUUGGCUAGCAUAAAUAUAGGGAUAAGUACAAGCUUCGGUUGUAACAGAAGUGAGAGACUUUGAAGGGUACGUGGAGAAAGUUUAGGCAGUAUAACGGCAACAAUAAUAUUCAAAGCUGAAGACUUGUGUAUAAAUAGGGCUGAGAUAUAUCAAAGUAGAGGAUCAGAUGAUUAGCAUCCAACACUUACAGUAUACAUUGUAACCUACUUUUCAACUUAGUGAAUUAUCUUUCUGGCUGGGCCGAGCCCACCCGCGGUUUUUACCUCACAAGGGUUUUCCGCGUCACCAAUCUUUCGUCUUAUUUACUUUAUCGCACUUUAUUUUGAUUCGCUUAUAUCGUUAUAUUAGCUUGGCAUUUAACUCACAAAAUCUGGUUAAAACAAUUGGCGCCGUCUGUGGGAAACUUGUCAAGCAUUCAACAUGGCAACGGGAGACCAGCAACACAGCGAAUCAGCGAGUCAGAAUGACAACCCUACGAUACGGCAAAUGGCGGAGACAAUCAAGAAACUACAAGCUGACGUGAAUGCCCAACAGGAAGCAUGGAGAACUGAGAGGGAUACGCUCCACUCCCAAACCCAGGCUCUACAAAGAGAGCUCACGACAGUUAAAUCCAAAUCAAACCCCAUAUCGAAGGGAAGCCUGAAAAGCGUGGCCAGACGGUUGAACAUGGACGAUGAUGGAGAGGAGGAGUACGACGAGAAGAUCGAGGUGGAGAACCCUGAAGAGGGGAAUCCAGAAAUCAACGACGAGGACCACGACGAAAGGGGUGACAAGGGUCAUGACAGUGGACAAGGACGAAACGAGGGGAACAAAAAGAAGAAAAAGACACGUAGAUCUUCCAAAUCACGUAGUCAUGCAACGGAGGCAAUGAAGAAAGAACUACAUGAUCUAAAGGAGACGUACACAGACGAGAACAAUUCAUAUUCGUCUCAUCACGUCUAAACGGGAACCAGUAAAUCACAUGUGACGCAACACGACCAACAAGACAUGGGUGACAUCUACACGACAAAAAAAACACCACAGAGGACAUGACGUGACACCAAAGAGAGAGACCGCCAUAAUUGAUUUUUUGACAGAUGAAUGGACAGCUUCGCUUGGGAACACGACAACACGAUGGGUAGCAGCCUCGACUUGAACAUACACAAGUUAAAUGAUGACAAGUCAAGCCACAUACAUGUCAAAUGCAAAUCAAACAGAAUUAAGAUAAUCAAUCGCAAAAGAGACAACUAAUUCAAAAAAGGACAUGAUACAUGAAGUCGAGUAUCAAGAAUGACUAGCAAACAUGGUGACAGUAUAAAAAUAACACCACGACAGUUGGACAUAAAGUCUUGACAUGAUGAUCGACGUGACAGCUAGACAUGAACUCUAGUAACAUAACAGAUCAUGUCAAAUACAUUAUCACCUAUGAGCCACAAACAACGAUUGACUCACAAAUUUUGUUAAUUUUGUGGCUAAUUUCAAUCCAAGUCUUCUAUCUCAACAGGACAUGACGACUUAUCCUAAAAUCGCCACAAGGGGACAAUAUAGCAUACCCAAAGCACGAUCGACAUCACUGGUUCAACAUGAUGUGAAGUAAAAAGACAUGACAUGACCACGAAGGAUAAACAUAGACGAAAGAAUCAAAAAUGGACUAGUUGUUGAGACAAGUCGAAGAAACUUGAUUAAUGUCAACUCGACGACAUGGGACACGAAGGUCAACACUAUGACAGAACAUGAAUCAUUGACGCCUCUAGAGGUGUCCGACGUCUCCCAUCUGAUUCAACAAUACAUUACAAAUUACAAGUCCUCAGGGGCUCGAACAUGCUACUUUUAAAACUUUAUCACAUGUAAGUGAACUCAUCCUCUUUAUUCUCUUAGCCUUAGCAAUAUGAUAAUAAGUUGAUUACGAUCUUUACUUGGUCUUAUGCCAUUUAGAUGAUAUUUCAUGCUUCGUGUAAAUGUUUGUUUGAAUGAUUCAUGAUAUAAGCAUUAUGAUUCACAUGCUUGUUUCCUAUAUGACUUGCUACUCUACUUGAUUUGAUAUGUGUGUUGAAAUAUGUUAUGCAAGUUGUUGCAAAUAGUCUUCAUGUCUAACUGCAUAAAGUUGACAUCUUCAUCAUGAUAUUUAUUGUGACAUGAUAUUGCAUGAGUAUAUUUUAGAUACAUAUUAAUAGACAAGGAGGGCUGAUCACCCAUCCUACUACGGUUGAUCAUUAUCGAAUGAUGGUGACGACAACACUACACAUUACACAAAUAACUUACGACGCUACGAAUAAUGAUGCAUUUCAACAUUAUGUAUAUAAACAUUACAUAAUCACAAUUACAAUUACGAGCUAAGUUUCAAGAGGGAAAGGCCUUUUAACUAGCCUACGAAUGCAUGCAUCGACGUUUGAAAAUAAACAGAUUUGUCGAAUACGACAACGUUUGAAAAUUAUAUAUUUGUCGAAUACAUAUACUACAUGCAUCAACGUCUGAAAAUUAUAUAUUCAUCGAAUAUAUAUAUUUGUUGAAUACAUAUACUACGUGCAUCAACAUUAUAUUUGUCGACUACAAUUACGCGUAUUACAAGUUCAAAUACAUCAACGUAUUUAACAUACAUGUCGAAGAAAACUCCACAAAAUCACGCAAGUCACGACCCUUGGUCGAAUACAUUACACAUGAAUUACAACCUACAUUUUUACAUGUCAUCACUUACGCGUGUCAUGACAGAUUGCAUUGACUACAUGUCACACAUUACAAUCACAAGUGACAUAUACGGUUACAAACAACAUAUCACGUUAUGAUGACUAUUUACGCAUCAUUGUCUAUAAGUUACAUAUCAUGGACNGCUGGGCCGAGCCNCCGAAGACAUACUACAAAACACUUUACGUGUUAGUACAUUACAUUACAAUCACUCCAAAUUAAAAGGGUCGAAUGAACCAAUUUCAAGCCAUAGACGCAUAGGAUUAUGAUGUCGACAAUGACAAAUAUGUGACACCUUGCACAUGUCAGAAAUAUCUAUAAGGGACUUUACAAAUAUAAUGCAAAGCAACGUCACAACUUGACAUGUUAAUACUAUAGGGUUGUCCGACGGGUUGACUGGGGCUGUCCGAUGGAUAGGCUGGGGCUGUCCGACGGGUAGGCUGAGCUGAAAAAACACGUCGCUCAACACACAUAAGUGAUGUCUAUGGAACUGAAGCUGUCUUGACGCCAUAAGUCAUGACAUCGACGGCAAGAUACGAGUUGUAAACAUAUGACGAGAGGAUGCACUAGCACAUGACAUUGACGUUAUGGAUGGACUAAGGGAAAUAACAAAGUACGGCUGGAGUCGUACCGACAAAAGGUAGAAAACGCCUACAACAAACAUGUUCAUGUCAAGACAUUUAACGUUGGCGACUUGGUCUUGCGGAGGGUAUUUCAGAAUACUAUGGACAUGAAGGCCGACAAAUUUGCUGACACAUGGGAAAGGUCCUACCUUGUUGACGCUAUAGUUGGGCGCGGAGAAUAUCAGUUGUCAACCUUAUAUGGAAUUCAGAUACACAUGCUAACGUCAAACAAGGAAACGCUUCGUAUGAUUUGGGGAGAUUUUAUUAAUUAAUUAAAUUAAUAAAAUCUGGGGCUAUUGUUAUAUCCGAAAUUUACAGAUACUACGUGAAAUAAUUAAUCAGAAAAUCAUGGGGCUAAUGUAAUGACGUCAAGUUUUGUACAUGGCCUGACACCUGCAGCAUGACGAAGACGACGUGAUGAAAAGACAUGACAAGGACUGCGGGAAGCAAGGAUGCUUGGGGCACGUGAGUGACAUGCUGUGAGGAAUCAGUCGUUGGCUAGCAUAAAUAUAGGGAUAAGUACAAGCUUCGGUUGUAACAGAAGUGAGAGACUUUGAAGGGUACGUGGAGAAAGUUUAGGCAGUAUAACGGCAACAAUAAUAUUCAAAGCUGAAGACUUGUGUAUAAAUAGGGCUGAGAUAUAUCAAAGUAGAGGAUCAGAUGAUUAACAUCCAACACUUACAGUAUACAUUGUAACCUACUUUUCAACUUAGUGAAUUAUCUUUCGAGCUGGGCCGAGCCCACCCGCGGUUUUUACCUCACAAGGGUUUUCCGCGUCACCAAUCUUUCGUCUUAUUUACUUUAUCGCACUUUAUUUUGAUUCGCUUAUAUCGUUAUAUUAGCUUGGCAUUUAACUCACAAAAUCUGGUUAAAACAGAUACCAAUUAUUGUUAUAAAAAUAAAUAUAUGAUAAAUAUGAAAAAGAUAUUAAAAAAGUAGUUGAUUAUAUUAAUCGGAAUAUAAUGAUAGUUAAAAUAAUUAGAAAAUUUUAAGCAAAAUUAUCGUGUACAAAGCAGGUACGCCUGAUUUAUGUAAAGUGAAAAAAAGAGAAAAAAAUAAGAUGAGAAGAAAGAUCCGACCCGAAUAACAGUGAAUGGGCUGGUCUAGUGAGCAUCAGGAGGUAAUUUGGUUUUCAAAACCCUUGUUUGCGUCCCAUAACUCUUUUUGAGCCGUUCUCAACUAUUAUAUAUAAACACACACAAUCACUCAAAACCCAUUUGAAAUCGAAUGCAACUCGCUCUUCUAUUGGCUCUGUUAAACCCUGUUUUGAUAUUGGAUUACUAUCCCAACUGGGUUGUUUUCAAGUAUCUCAAAGAUGGUGUCUUCUUCCUCAACUUCAAGAAUUGAUGGGGGCCCUCAAAUACUGUCUGCUGGCGUGAGAAAAACAAUCCAAUCCAUAAAAGAAAUCGUGGGUAAUCACUCUGAUGCUGAAAUUUAUUCCACCCUUAAAGAGACUAAUAUGGAUCCUAAUGAAACUGCCCAGAAAUUGCUCAAUCAAGGUCCCCUUUUUUUUCUUGGUUUGUUCACUGUUUUCUUGAAUCAGUUUUUAUUUUUAGUUUAGUUGCAUGCUAAUUUGGUGUUUUUUUUGGGGUUUUAUAGCCUUGGUCACUUGUUUCGUGUGUCCUUAAAGCUUUUGUUUUUAUUGGUGUUUUAACGAUUAUUUUGUAGAUUUUUGGUCUGUGUAUAUGCUUAGCAUAUGAAAAAUUAUUUACGAAAGUGAAAAUGAUAACCUGUUUUGAUUGCAUUUGUUAAUAUCGAGACAUUUAAAUGACCUUUAUUAUAAAGUGUAGAAGGACUGUUUUAUUUAGCAUUCUUCCUAGUAUGAAGUUUUUUAUAUAUAAACAUUUAUAGGACAAAUUAGAAUAAGGGAUGGAUAAUCAGUAAGUUUGGCUUGUUCAAGAAUGCGAUAUGUCAAUGCUUAAAUUUUCUAAAGUUUUGAUGCAAGAUUAGUAUUCAGUGGCUUAAUAAUCUUUUCGAGUGAGGAUACUGAGGAUUGUCAUAAAUUAGUUUCCACUUUAUGGAUUAAUUAUGAAAGCAUGAAAAUGCAGAGAUUGGGGGUGGGGGAGAUAUGACAUAUCAAAACAUUAUUAACAUAUGCAUGAUGUUGUAUGUGGCAACUGGCAAUAGUUUAAGAAUAGGAGUUCUGUUCAAAUUAAAUUCCGUCGUCCAAGACAUCACUUCUGCAUGCAUGGUUGUUAGAACUUAAAACUGAGUUGAUGGCGGUAGAAGCAGGACCUGCUCAUGAAUCACCACAAUCCCCCAAGUGCGUAGUUUAUGGGGCAGGUAAAGACUUAAGAAGGAUUCUAUUAGUUAUCAAGAUUCCCAAAUGAGUAUAUCCAAAUUUUAAAAUAUCUUUGUAUGUUAUAUAGAUUUUGGAUUACACAUACAGAUGAAACUGCCCAGAAAUUGCUCAAUCAAGGUCCCCCCUUUUUUUUCUUGGUUUGUUUGUUUACUGUUUUCUUGAAUUGUUUUUUUUUUUUUUUUAGUUUCGUUGCAUGCUAAUUUGGUGCUUUUGUUGGGGUUUUAUAUUUUUUGGUCACUCGUUUCAUCUGUCUUCAAAGCUUUUUUUUUAUUGGUGUUAUAAUGAUUUUUUUGUAGAUUCUGGGUCUGUGUAUAUGCUUAUCAUAUGAAAAAAUUAUUAAUGAAAAUGAUAAUCUGUUUUAAUUGCAUUUGUUAAUUUCGAGACAUUUAAAUAAGCUGCUCAUGAAUCACCACAAUCCCCAAGUGCGUAGUUUAUGGGGGCAGGUAAAGACUUAAGAAGGAUUCUAUUAGUUAUCAAGAUUCCCAAUAUGAAUAUAUCAAAAUUUUAAAAUAUCUUUGUAUGUUACAUUGAUUUUGGAUUACAGUAUUACACAUACACUUUUAAAUAAUAAUGUAUACUCCCUCUAUCCCGGUGAGUAGUAUACAUUUUGGACAGAGAGCUCGGUACGCAGUAUAAGGCUCUUAAAAAAUUUAGUUUUAUGAAUUUUUUUAAAAAAAUAUCUUCAAAAUAAAAAUUUAGUGUUUACAUUUUUAUUCAGAAACAAAAAUUUUAAAAUAAGUUACAGAAAUCUAUUUCAUAGGAACGUUAAAAUGCUUGUCAAGCAAUGCAAAAAAAACUAUUUAGAAUUGAGUGGGACGGAGGGAGUAAUCAUUUACAACUAACUUAGUUACUAUCUGCUCCAGCCGGAUGUAUUUAUGAGAUGGGGGUCUCGUUUUGAAUAUUCGCUCCAAAUGCUAGCAAAGAUGGCAAAUCAAUGAUUGAAAACUUGAAUAUUGUUGUAUAGAGAAUUGGUCUUUAUCAAUUUUUAACAAAUGGUGUGUGGCUAUUUAUAUCAUAAAAUCAUAUUAAAAGUAACCAUUCUUCUUUCUUUGCUAAUUGAACACACACUACUCAUAUUUGCCUUUGACAAGGGUUGAGCCCUAAAUUUCCUGUAAUUGGGUAAAGGGAAGUACCCUUAACUAGAACCCUUUGGUAAUACUAGCUAUAAUUCAUUUCUAUUGAUUUCCGUACAUAUUAAUAUCGAGAGAUUUUUGUGGCUAGUUAGAUUGUUCCUUAUCAGUUGCAUUAUCAGAUUACUUCUGAUGAUUAUUCAAUUUGGAUUGUGAAAGUUAAUGAUUUAUAUUUGCUCUGUUUUCUUCUGUUUGAAUGUCAUUUUCUGUGGUUAUAUACAUCUGAUAUGGAUGCAAGAAUUAUUUGGACUGUUUCUGCUCAAUUUUUUUCAGGUUAUAUGGUAUUUUUACUUGAUAAUUAUUUUGUUACAGGAUGUAAUGUGGAAAAAUUUGUACAUUGUAGCACGAUACCUUUUUCAUUGCUUUUAUGUUAUCAUUUCGUCUGUUUUUGAUUGUCCCUUUGCGUUUUCUCAUAUUCAGAUCCAUUUCACGAGGUCAAAAGAAAAAGAGACAAGAGGAAAGAGGUAUCACUUUUUACUGAAUUGUAUGACAUGUUCUUCUUAAUUGAAAAUUAGUUUUUUAUCUUAUGUUUAUUGUUUGUCAUGCAUUCUUGAUAUUGGCAUCCCGGUGGUAGAAAAAUAUCUAAUAUUGCACUAGCCAUCAUAAAACUGUACCAUGAUUACUAUCUUAUUUUAAAAAGCUGAUAAUAAUACUUAGAUGGGUUUUCCUUACUUUAAGAUAUGGUUCAUACAAAGUGUUUGUGUCAGGUUACAAUGAACGUGGGGCAUACUGCAUCACAACAGAAAAAGCACAGUGAAUCAUUAAAUCAAGGGAGCAAACACACUGCACAUUCUGAUCACAGUGUCAGUGGCAAAGGAAUUAUCCGGAAUUCUUUGCCGGGUAAAAAACCUUUACUCUUAUAUUAGAUGUUCAGAUUUCUUUGUGUUCCAGCUUUGCUGAUGUAAUGUUAAAGAUGUAGUUCAUUUGGAAAAUGUAUCGUGUAUAUUGAAAUAGCAUUGCUUAGUAGGCGUUUGGAUCAUCGAUUGGAAUGAGAAUGAAGGGUAUGAAUAUGGUGAUAAAUGUGAACAGAAAUUAUAUAAAAUCCCAGGGAAUGAUUAACCUACCUAAUGGGGAUGGCUGAAUGAGGUUCCCAUUCCAAGCAACCAAAUUGCUUACCCAAACACUAACGUACAGGAUUGAGGUUCUGAUUCCUGCUAUACGGGCUCAUUAACUAUGAAUAAACCACUUAGGAUAUGUGUAUGGAUACCAAAUUGUUAGACUCCAUAGAUAUUAAGUUAUUCUGUAUACGGAUACUAAGUUGUCAUACUUCUGCUUUAGUCUAGUUCACUUAAUUACUUCUGCUCUAGUCUAGUUAUGUUAAUUGGCAAGAACUUUUUUCUGUUGGUUCAAACACUUUAUGUCCCGACCUACCUGUAUAUGGCUCUUGUGUUUUUUAAUUGUCUUAUUGAUCUUCAGUUCUCUUUUACCUAUUCAUGCAUGCUUACUUUCAUACUCUGUCACGAAUUAAAGGUUCCUGAAGUGAUUUUCUGUAACUUUUUGGUAACUUUCUGUGUUUAGAGACUAGAAGUAACAGAAUAACUAGAGAAACAGAUAGAAUCAAGAGAGGAACAGAGAAACUAGAUGAGAUUCAGAGCGCGAUUCCAGAAAAAAGAGAAAGAAAAGCAUAGAACAGAGAAUAAGACAUAGAAACGCUAGAGAGAGAUGAAGUAACAGAUUCUGUUAUAUAGAGAGAAGGAAGUGAUGGGAAUGUACGUAUCAUAUAUUCAUCAUAAUCUAAAAUGGAAACAUUAUGUCAGGAAUGGCUUAUCUUAGUUGCAGUUCUUGCUAAUAGUAGUAGAGUCUUACUAUAUACUUAUCAGUAUCAACACAGUAGUAUACUUUAGUAAUUAUAGUUGUGCCACUUCAUUACUAGAAGUUAGUUUGCCUAUAAAUACUUGAUAGGCUUUGUAUUUCCAGUUAUGUUGAAUAUAUGAAAUGGAAUGAUUUCCACCAAUCCACUUUCUCUCUCUGUAACUGAUUCUCAGUUUCUCUGUAGGGUUGCUAACCCCAUUUUAUCUCUCUGCUCAAUCUCUGUCGUUUCUGUCUUUUCUGUCUCUAUCUCUCUCAUGUCUCUCUGAAUUCUCUCUAACUGACUCUAUUUGAGCUGUUAUCUCUACUUUACUUGUUCCUGCCUUUUAUCAACAUAAAACAUUGAAAAUAGUCUCAAACAGCUCAGGAUUCCCCCAAUUCCUGACACAUUACAAGGGUAUUUAUAGUAGUCUGCUACUUGCCCCACUUAACUAACUAAAGAAAGGGCAAAGUACCCCUCUUACUAUACCCUACCUAUACAGUAGAUUAAAACUGUCUUUCCUAUCAGCUCUGCUCAUUUAGUAGUACUCUAUGUUGAAUUUCAUUCUUCUGUUGUGUAACUCUUGGUAUAUUUAUCUGAGAUUCUUCAUUAGGUCGUUUAUAAUAUAGGCUAUUAACAUUUUUAUUAUUUGUUAAUUGUUGUUUUCUUAUGAUAGAUGCAAAGGCUAGCAGAGAGUUCCGUGUUGUGAGGGACAAUAGGACUAAUCAUAAGCCAAGCAGCAAGAUAAAGCCUCCCUUGCAAAGCCAAAUAUCUUCAAAUGAACUAGAAGUCCCGAAGUUUGCCAAUAAGAGGUACUGUAUAUGUCUCGUGGCUUUUUUUUUUCCCUUUACAAAAAUUUACCAUUCUAGGAAUGUAUUGAUCGGCUGGUUUAGUUUUUUUCUUUGGUUAAAUCUCCUACAUUUACUUGGGGCCUGCACGCUUGAAGUUCCCUGAAUGAACCUAAGGAUUUCCUGGAGUUCUACAUUUCCUCGUCUGUUUGUGUAUAAAUAUGUUAUUUAUUUCCCUUCUCAGCAGCUUGAACGUGACUUCUAAUGAGCAGAAACAGACAGUUGUGCGUCAUCUAACUAAAUCUUCAAAUGGAACGACUGAGACACAGCCUAGGCAGCCAAGGGUUGUUCAGAUUAAUAAUAAGAAAGAAUCAUUGGAGGAUAAUCGAUCCGCAGUUAUAAAGCCUGUUACACAGAUUCAAACUAAGAGCACAAAUGAUUCCCAUCUAUCUGCAACUUUAUCUAACAACUCUGUGGCAGGGGUAUACUCUUCAUCUUCUGAUCCUGUACAUGUACCUUCUCCUGAUUCCAGACCAGCUGCUAACAUUGGAGCAAUUAAGCGUGAAGUUGGGGCUGUUGGUGUACGUCGUCUGUCUACAGAAGUUUCUCCCAAAGGUUCAUCACCACAAUCUAAUUCUUUUCCUAAUACACAUUUGGGACGUGAUGGUCCGUCAAGAGAUUCAUAUCGAUCUUCUGCUUCCCUGUCUAAAAGCAGCCAUCCUAGUCAAGCUCCUGUUAAUGACUCGACUUUGAAGAAUAUUCCAGUCAAUAGGCCAUCUGUUAAUAAUCAGCAGGUUAACAGACAGCAUCAAUCUGGUGGUCAUCAAAAAGGUAAUCAUUUUCUGCAGAACUGUUUCUCCUAUGUUAAUACUGUUUAGCUGUUCAAUGCUCAUUCUAGAACAGAUGCAUGGAACACAAGUUUGUAUUUUAAGUUGCAUUCUGCUAUUUAUUUGUUCCAAAAACUGUUUUGGAUUUUUAUAAAUUGUAAGUAAUACUUUGAAGGUUUUUUUAGAAUUGACAAAUUUGUAAACCAGAUGAAGACGACAAUUUUUUUUAAAAAAACAAUUGGUGUUUGGGUUUGGGAAUCUUAUGUGAAACUCGAAAGAGAACAGCUGGAUUUCCCUUUAAUAGAUUGGGUAAACAAUUUGGUAACAUGACACAGCAUACAAUAAAUAUGUAUAUUAUUUAUUUAUUAUAAAAUCACUAAAUUCCUCCCUGACAAAAAAAUAAAUAAAAAAUCACUAAAUUCCUUUUUAUUUUUUUUUAUGUAUAAACAUAGAUAAUCUGUAAUUUAUCAUAUAUUUUAUGUCAUGAAAACACAACUCAAAAUUAUUAAGUUUAUUGUAAGUCAUUUACUGUCGUGUGUGCGUAACGUUUGUGACAUGAAACACCAUUUACACGACAUAUUUUGUACAAUUGCUAGGUCUAGUUUUUGAAAUGUUAUAUAUUCUCUUUCAUGAAGGCUGUUCUUAGCCUUUUUUUAUGUUUAAGUUUAAAUAAAUCUUCGAAGCAAUAAAUUGGAAGUUUUUAACUAAAAGAACUUGAAAUUCAUUAUAUAUGUGUAAGGCAGCUAGGAGAACCAUUCGGAUUUGGUGCUGACUAUUGGUGAUUGCAAUUUAAUAGUAGAUAUUCCGAUGUUGGUUUUUCUACAUAAUUUCAGUGUUGCUUUCGUCGCUUUGAUAGUUAACAGUGUAUGGAUUAUAAAAACCAUCAUUUUCUAUUUUUAUUAUUCUUGUUUUCUUUAUUGUCUUAAAAGCUAUUUCAUAACAUAGCUGGCUCUCAUCGUGAAUUUAUAAUUGCUUUUGUGAUGUUUAAUUUGCAAAAAAAAAGAAACCCUUGUAAUUAGGACCUCAAUAUAUAGAAUACAAAUUAGUGGCCAAAUUAAGUCCUUCAAAUAUACGCGUUUCUUAAUAUUUUUGGUGCUGCAAGUGCGCAUUGGCUUUAAUAGCAUCACUUAAUUAUUUCAAGGGGAGGGGACAUUGUAGACUACCCGCUUAUGUUUAGUUUCGCUAUAUAUGGUCAGAUUAGACAGUGUUCUAGAAGUUAUUAAGUGGUGUGUUAGUUUUUAUAAAUACUCCUUCUAUAUUAUUAUAUGACGCUUUGAUUUUUGGCACACAUAUAUAGGUGUGUUGACCACAUUUGAAAUUAUUUUAUUCAUGAAUAAAAUUAUAUAACAAAAAUUUUAAUUCACAAAAAAAAAUUAUAAAUAAUAAUUUUUACUAUGUGGUUAAACUACGUAAAAUUGUGUGCCAAAAGUCAAAGCGUAAUUUAUUAAAAAAUAAAAGGGAGUAGUGGUAUGGAGGACUUUAAUGUUAGAAAAAGAUGCACACUUUUUUUUUGUUUCUUUAUAUAAAUAUAUUAACAAAAAGGGCACAGCCGUAGCCAGUUUCUUGCACACAAUUUAUAUGUGUGUAAUAAUGAAGAACACCAUUGAUUAUGGUAUCCUAAUGCAAUAGCAUCCUACUCUAUAGUUAUAGUUUAUUAUGUGUCUCAGCCCUUCAGGCAAUUAAGAUGGUGCUUAUGCAGCAUAUUUUAGCCUUCAAAUAUGGUGUUAAUGUUAAGAGGAGAGGGAGGGGAAUUUUUUUUCUCUUAUUCCAAGCCAAUCACCCUCACGAAAGUGCUCAAAUUCUGAGAAUGAAAAAGAUACUUGAUCACUAAGAAUUGCCUGUUACAGAUCUUAAUGUAAUGACCCUACUGCUGCCAGUUUAUGUUUUAAUGAAGAACUCCAGGCAUCUUAAAACCUUUUUCUUUUAGUCCGAAUGACAUAUGUAUUGAGUUUUCCUAACAACUGAUCACAAGGUCUAUCUGUAGUUUCUUCACAUUCUAACAAGGAGUGGAAACCUAAAUCAACCCAAAAACAAAGCACCGGUCCUGGAGUUAUUGGAACACCAUCAAAAUCUGCUUCCCCUCCUGCUGAUGCCUUAAAGAAUUUGGAAACAGAAUCAACUCAGUUGCCAUCACAUGUAGACAUCUCGGACAAUGAGAAUGUAAUUAUAGCUCCACAUAUACGAGUCUCCGCAACUGACAGGUUUCGAGUGACUUUUGGCAGUGUGGGUACAGAGUUUGAACCUUCCAGAAACCCGGGGUUCGAAGCAGUAAAAGUUGCAGAGGAGCCUUUGAUUGAUCCUUCAGGAAGGUUUGUUUCUCAAAAACCUGCAGUUUACUUGUUUGCUUGCAGUGUGAGUAUUGUUGCAAGUUUGUCAUGACUUUGUGGGGAUAUAUAUCAAUUUUGAAGCAGUGUGUAAAGCAGUAUACACAUAGUGGUUUGUUUUGCAAUGUUAUUGUCUAGUUGAUUUGCAACACCCUAAUUAAAACUGAUUACGUGAGAUGUAUGACAGUGUAUCAGUUGCUACUCCUGACUCUUCUGGUGAUGAAUCUUCUGGAAGUAAGCAAGAAGACUUGAGAGAUGAAAAUGUUCGCAAUUCUGGUAGCAGUUCCCCUGCGUCUGCAGCAGUAUCUGAACAGCAAUUGACCAGUAGGAUAGAAUCAUCAGGUCCUCAGGAUAUAGACAAGGGGGCAGAGGUUGAAUUGGUGCGUAAUAACAGUCAGUCUCACACUCCAUCUCAGUCACAACCACACCAGGAUCCUUCCCAGUUACCAAUAUUUUCUGUGAGUGCCAUAAAUGAGUUUGUUAAAUAUUUUAUGCUAUUCCAUUGGGUUUGCACUUUGGUUUAUGAUGUUUGUCCUUGUUUCUAAGUUGAACUAUGUUUCACGAAAAAUGUAAUAUAAUGUUCUAUUAACUAAUUAAUCAUGUUACCUAAUAAAAUGUGAACAAUGUUGCUAUAUUGGUAUUAACUUAUUGAUGCCGGACAAAACAUAUGGUAGGAGAAUUCAAAUAAACUAAGUACAAGAAACUAAAAAACUAGGUUGUUUUUUUAAAGUAAAAUGGCUACCCUGAGCUAUCUCAUUUGCUGAAUAGAUGUGAAGGACAGGAGUUUCAAAGAUAAAUCAACUGAGGCCUUAAUCAUACUGGCUAAACAAAAAGUUGAAAACUAAGACAGCUAUAAAAGGGGAACAUGGGAAAUAACUGUCUGAUAAACAGGAAAACUGGGAAUAACUGCAACUUGCCAAAAAAAAAAAUGAUCUCAGUGCUGGUAUUGGUCCUCGCUGGUCAUAAAUCUCUGGUAGUGAUAUACAGUUCUUAUAUCCAUGCAUGUUGUUCUGGUUAACUUAAUUCCAAUAAAUAUGUUUUUGUUAAUUGUGUGUAGGGUCAAGUAGCUUUUGCAUCUCCGCAGGCUAUGUUCAAAUAUAUGUACAUUUUUUGUAAAUCUGCCUUUGUUUUCCAAUCUCAAUCUGACAUCCUGUUUUGUGGUUGUCUGUAUACAGUCAUAUGAUCCCCAGAGUAUGUAUGACAUUCCGUAUUUUCGAUCAUCAGUCGAUGAAACUGCAAGGGUGCAAAGUCUGCAGUUUCCUCAGGAGGUAACACUUAGUUUACUUUUACUUGCAAAAUAUCAUCUUGUUUAUAUCUCUCCCACAUGUGGGCAUGACAAAUCUAGCUCUUGAUUGCUGCUUCCUUUCUGUAUGGUUGCAGGCUAUAAGCUCACAUACAGUAAAUAACAUCCCAUCAUCUACGGUAGCCAUGGUGCAACAGCCGCAGUUGGCGCAGAUGUACCCGCAAGUUCAUCUUUCUCAUUAUGCUAAUAUGAUGCCAUAUCGUCAAUUCCUCUCUCCAGUUUAUGUUCCACCAAUGGCUGUGCCAGCAGGCUAUACUAGUAACCCUUCCUAUCCUCAUCCAUCAAGCGGCAACAGUUACUUGCUGAUGCCCGGAGGUAGCUCCCAUCUGCCUGGAAGUGGGGUCAAGUAUGGAAUCCAGCAGUUCAAACCAGUCCCCACCGGCAGUCCAACUGGGUUUGGCAACUUCACUAAUCCAAAUGGUUAUCCUAUCAAUGCUCCUACUGUUAGUGCGACAGGACUUGAAGACUCGUCUAGGCUGAAGUACAAAGAUGUGAAUCUUUAUGUUCCAAAUCCACAGGUGAGCGUUUUUCUUUACGUUAUUUUUUCUUUCUGCUUCUGUUCAUAAUACAGCAAAAGGAACUUGAUAAAUAGACUCGUAUUGUGAUAUUGGUGCUUGUUUAAUCUAUGUUUCUGCAAUAGGGUCAAGCUCUGUUAUAUUAAUGAAUUAUUUGUUCCCGAAAAAGUGUAUGAAUAGUGUAUUGUUUGUUGUGCCUGAUUACUUGAUUUUCAACAGGCUGAGACCUCUGAGAUAUGGAUGAAUCCGAGGGACCUACCUACUAUGCAAUCAGGUUCAUACUACAAUAUGACUGGACAAACACCUCAUGCUGCAUACUUGCCAUCCCAUACCAGUCACGCCUCGUUUAAUGCAGCAGCACAAUCUUCUCACAUUCAAUUUCC
Molecule: long non-coding RNA, 21182 nt
Filed under: Daucus carota (carrot)
Lineage: Eukaryota; Viridiplantae; Streptophyta; Magnoliopsida; Apiales; Apiaceae
Description: long non-coding RNA (DCAR_LNC004106)
Source: RNAcentral